AACUAACGCUGGCGGCGUGCCUAACACAUGCAAGUCGUACGAGAAAGUUGGCUUCGGCCGAUGAGUAAAGUGGCGCACGGGUGAGUAAUGCGUGGAUAAUCUGCCCUUUAGUUGGGAAUAACGUACCGAAAGGUGCGCUAAUACCUGAUAAUACUGCAUAACUACUGUUGUGUAGUCAAAGAAGGCCUCUGUUUACAAGCUUUUGCUGAAGGAUGAGUCCGCGUACCAUUAGCUGGUUGGUGGGGUAAUGGCCUACCAAGGCUACGAUGGUUAGCUGGUCUGAGAGGAUGAUCAGCCACACUGGGAUUGAGAUACGGCCCAGACUCCUACGGGAGGCAGCAGUCGAGAAUAGUCUACAAUGGUCGGAAGACUGAUAGUGCGACGCCGCGUGAACGAUGAAUCCCUUCGGGGUGUAAAGUUCUUUUAUAUGUGAGCAGUGCUUCUUAUAUUAACAGUAUGGGGAGAGAGAUAUUAGCAUA
Molecule: ribosomal RNA, 479 nt
Filed under: uncultured bacterium
Lineage: Bacteria
Description: bacterial SSU rRNA
Rfam family: Bacterial small subunit ribosomal RNA
Source: RNAcentral